Long non-coding RNA from Marmota monax (woodchuck), 2808 nucleotides. RefSeq lists it as uncharacterized. The record is from RefSeq and is a predicted model, not a curated record. NCBI's taxonomy places the organism in Eukaryota, Metazoa, Chordata, Mammalia, Rodentia, Sciuridae. The transcript has 4 exons.
UUCUCGCGGGCCACGUCAGGCUGCCUUGCUAACUUGGGGCUUUCCCCUUGUCUCCCAUCUGUGUUCAGGGUCCAGGAUGACGACCCGACACCAGGGCCAGCAGUACAGGCCCAGGAUGGCAUUUCUUCAAAAGAUAAACCGGUGCCCACACCUGGGCCCUGGCAGGUGGGCGGGGUCCGAGUCUGGGGAGAGGGAGCCAGGACAUUCUGUGCAGAAGGGGCGGGCAGCCCUGCGGGGCGGUCUCGGGGUUCCAUCGUAUUGACUAUAUGUGUUUCAAUAAUAUUUUUAAAAAUGUAUUUAUUUAGGUUUCCAAUCUGCUUCUGGAUCCUGAAGGAAGAAUCAGCACUGCAUGGGCAGAAUGUGGGAGGGGCAGAGCCUGCCCCCAGGAGCAAGGGGCAGACACCCGUUCAGCCGGGCCCCUGGCUGCUCUGAGUCACAUAAGGAACCCAGUCACCCACGUGUCAAUUUCGCAGCUUCUAUAGGUUGCCAUUUCUGGAUCUGAAGUGUGAUAUUUGAAAGUAAAAACUUAUCCCACACACAGAGACCACAACAUGCCCGCAGCUCCAAAGGCAGUGGUCACUGUCUCCUGUCGCUUGGAUCCCUUGGUUGGGUUUGGGGCUAAAUGUCAGGGGUUCUUGGUGCCAACCUCGUUCUGCACCAUUUCCUCUCAGUCAGCCAGUCAGCCGUCCACGUGUACAAAUACUGUGCUGAGCAUUGUUCAUGUUCUGGGGACACAUGGUGAUCAUGACAGGAGCAACCCUGCACUCGAUGAACCCAGAGGCUAAGGGACCCAUCCAAGGGCAGCUUCAGGGUGUCCAGCCUGGGGCAAUGUGGGUGGACUGAGGGCUAGACCCACCACAAGGAAUCUUGUGGUGUCCUAGUCCAGACAAGCCAAGCUCUCUCCGUCCAAUGGCAGAGCCGGAGGUAGGCCAUAUAGAUGCUGUUGGCUUCCCACCCCAAACCAAGGACUUCAGCUUCAAGCUCCUGAACCUCUUGACCAGGAGGGUUACUCUGGCACUGUGAACAUGACUGGCACUUAUGUGACCUGAGUAGAUGCCCCAUGAGCAGCCUGCAGAUGACACUGAAGGACCUUGCUAAGUAGCUGAAACUGGCUUCAAACUUGUGAUCCUCCUGCUUCAGCCUCCCAAGUCACUGGGACUACAGAAAUCAGGAAUGCAUGGGAUGGAAUGAGAGGAGCUGCAGGUGGUACCAGCCCAGAUUGCUGAGUCACUACAUCAAAGGAGGAACCUGGGCAUUGCUCAACUUGAGUUAGUACAGAAGCACCAGUAAAAGACACGCAGAACCAGAAAUGGGAAUCAAAAUGCAAAGCCAGGAAAUCAGAGGCCUUCUACAACCUACCAGGUGGAGUAGCUCAUGGUCCAGGUGAGGUCUGCAAUAGGCUAUAGUUUUCUCCUACAAAUUAAUUCCUUCUGCUGGGACAGAACUCUAAAAGGGAGGAAGAUAUUAGAUCUACCGCUUCAAACCACUUUCCCUGAAGUCAUUGUUUUUAUGUAUGUAUCCAGAUGAUUUUAUGAUUUUGUUUUUUUCCACUAUUGUGAUAAAUUACUUUGAUUGAUUUUUAGAAUAUUAAAUCACCCUUGCAUUCCUGGAAUAAACUCUAUAGAUGGAAGCUUGGUUUUAUUUGCUAGAUUUUGCAUCUAUACUCACUAACAAAAAAAAUUUUUUUUCUCUUCUCCUGACACCACCCACCAGUUUUUGGAUCCUACAACACCAACUAGGCAUCCUAUAUUUCCAUCCAAUUUUGACACUAACUCCCCAGAGUCAGCAUCAGUUCCAACAGAUUGAAGGGCUCAGUCCCACAAGACUGCCACCACUUCAGAUGCCAGUCACAAGUCCUGGACCACUUGUACUUCUGAGCAACGGGCGAUAAAUCAGGGAGUCCCAUGACUUCUUUUCAGGUUCGAUCAUUUGCUGGAACAACUCACAGGACUCAGGAAAGUGCUUUUCUUAAUGUUACUGGUUUAUCAUAAGAAUACAACUCAGAAAUAGCUGAAUUGAAGAGAUACAGAGGGCAAAGUAUGGGGGAAGGGGCACAGAGCUUCUGUGCCCUCUCUGGGUCCAUCGCCCUCCCAGCACCUUGAUAUGUUCACUAACCUGGAAACUUCCUGAGCCCCUUUAUUUAGGGGCUUUUAUGGAGGUGCCAUUACACAGCCAUGAAUAAUUAAAUCACAGCCAGUGGCGACUCACUCAGCCUCCAACCCUUCACCUUUCUCUCCUCCCUGGAGGUUGUGGAGGAGCCUGAAAACUCCAACUGUCUAAGCACGCCUAGGUUGUUCUGGUGACCCCCAUGUCCCAUCCUGAUGCUACCCAGAGGCCUCUCAUUAGCGUACAGAAGACACUCUUGUCUGUGAAGAUUCCAAGAGCUUGGGGAGUUCUUAGAACCAAGAGGGACUAAGGACAAAGACCAACUAUUUUUUUUUGUUAUACCACAAUGAUUGAGACUGGUCUAUGAUUUUUUCCUUUGUGCAGUAUCCUAGUCCAGUUUCUUUCUUCUUUUUUUCCUAUAGAGGUUAUAUUGGCCAUAUAAAAAGAGUUGGGAAGGGUACAUGGAUUUUUCUGUUUUCUGGAAGAGUUUGUGCAAGAUUGUUAUUCUUUAAAUAUUUGAAAGAAUUAAUUGAUGAAGCCAUCAAGUUGUCAAAUAAUAGAUUCAAUUUAUUUAUUGCAUAUUGGAUAUUCUGAUUUUCUUUUCUUUUUCUAGUCCAUUUUGGAAAGCUGCAUUUCUCAAUGAAUUUGUCCAUUUCAUUCAAACUGCCAAAACAAACAAACAAUAAAGUUUUUAUUUUUUGA